AGAGUUUGAUCCUGGCUCAGGACAAACGCUGGCGGCGUGCGUAACACAUGCAAGUCGGACGAGGGGAUGGGUCCUUUCGGGGAGCUAUCUUUCGAGUGGCGGACGGGUGAGUAACACGUGGAUAACCUACCCUGGUGUGGGGGAUACCCUGUAGAAAUACGGGCUAAUACCGCAUGGGGUGGCGAUCGGGGAGCCGAUGG
RNAcentral lists this ribosomal RNA (200 nucleotides) under uncultured bacterium. Its description in RNAcentral is "partial 16S ribosomal RNA". It matches the Rfam family "Bacterial small subunit ribosomal RNA", at positions 8 to 197 of the family's 1533-position model. The record is from RNAcentral.